This 450-nucleotide unclassified non-coding RNA is filed under the name Hevea brasiliensis (rubber tree). Lineage: Eukaryota; Viridiplantae; Streptophyta; Magnoliopsida; Malpighiales; Euphorbiaceae. The record is from RNAcentral.
AAAUCCUGUGACUUUAUUAAGGCCAGUAGCCAGUGGCGGAAAGUUCAGGACCGCUUAGAAGCUGAUGAAAGAUGCCCCCGCCUUGAGAAAAUUGACCGCUUGGAGAUUUUCCAGGAAUAUAUACGUGAUUUAGAGAGGGAAGAGGAGGAGCAAAGGAAACUGCGGAUGGAAGAAUUGAGGAAAGCUGAACGUAAAAAUCGUGAUGAAUUCCGAAAACUGAUGGAAGAGCAUGUUGCUGUGGGAAUGCUUAAUGCAAAAACUAUCUGGCGUGAUUAUUGCAUCAAAAUCAAAGAUAUAGCUGCAUAUCAGGCUGUCUCAUCAAAUACUUCAGGGUCAUCAGCAAAAGACUUAUUUGCAGAUGUCGUGGAUGAGCUAGAUAAACAGUAUCUUGAUGACAAGUCACGAAUUAGAGAUGCAGUUAGGAUGACCGAGAUUGGGCUGACAUCAAGA